Molecule: ribosomal RNA, 373 nt
Filed under: uncultured organism
Description: partial 16S ribosomal RNA
Rfam family: Bacterial small subunit ribosomal RNA
Source: RNAcentral
GGGGGGGGGCAAGCGUUGUUCGGAAUUACUGGGGCGUAAAGCGCGCGCAGGCGGCCGGCAAGUCCUACGUGAAAUCCCACAGCUCAACUGUGGAACUGCGUGGGAUACUGCCAGGCUUGAGUCCGGGAGAGGAGAGUGGAAUUCCCAGUGUAGCGGUGAAAUGCGUAGAUAUUGGGAGGAACACCGGUGGCGAAGGCGGCUCUCUGGACCGGUACUGACGCUGAGGCGCGAAAGCUAGGGGAGCAAACGGGAUUAGAUACCCCGGUAGUCCUAGCUGUAAACUUUGAGCACUUUGUGUGGCGGGUAUCGACCCCUGCCGUGCAGAAGCUAACGCAUUAAGUGCUCCGCCUGGGGAGUACGGUCGCAAAGGCUG